CUACGGGGGGCAGCAGUGGGGAAUAUUGCACAAUGAGCGAAAGCUUGAUGCAGCCAUACCACGUGUGUGAAGAAGGCCCGAGGGUUGUAAAGCACUUUCAAUUGUGAGGAAGGUUCAGUAGUUAAUACCUGCUGUUCUUGACGUUAACUUUAGAAGAAGCACCGGCUAACUCUGUGCCAGCAGCCGCGGUAAUACAGAGGGUGCAAGCGUUAUUCGGAAUUACUGGGCGUAAAGCGCGCGGAGGCGGAUUGUUAAGUCAGUUGUGAAAGCCCUGGGCUCAACCUGGGAACUGCAUCUGAGACUGGCAAUCUAGAGUUUAAGAGAGGGAAGUGGAAUUCCAGGUGUAGCAGUGAAAUGCGUAGAUAUCUGGAGGAACAUCAGUGGCGAAGGCGACUUCCUGGCUUAAAACUGACGCUGAGGUGCGAAAGCGUGGGUAGCGAACGGGAUUAGAUACCCUGGUAGUC
This 464-nucleotide ribosomal RNA is filed under the name uncultured bacterium. RNAcentral's name for it is "partial 16S ribosomal RNA". It matches the Rfam family "Bacterial small subunit ribosomal RNA", at positions 339 to 795 of the family's 1533-position model. The record is from RNAcentral.